RNAcentral lists this unclassified non-coding RNA (2378 nucleotides) under Stegodyphus dumicola. RNAcentral's name for it is "chitobiosyldiphosphodolichol beta- mannosyltransferase-like, transcript variant X5". Lineage: Eukaryota; Metazoa; Arthropoda; Arachnida; Araneae; Eresidae. The record is from RNAcentral.
AAAAAGACUUAGCGAGUUCUUUGUGUUCUUUUUCUGUGUUUGUGUGUCUGUCCGUAUGAAUAUUUUGCAUUUUUUUCUGAAGUUGUGUGUGAGAAAUGAAGUCAGAAUUUGUGAAUAAUACAGAGAAGAAAUGUGUGAGCGUUGUUGUCUUAGGAGAUUUUGGAAGAAGUCCUCGAAUGCAAUAUCAUACUCUGUCGUUAUCCAAAAACAAUUUUCGGGUAGACGUGGUAGCUUACAAAGGAGCAGAACCCCAUAAAAGAAUUAUAAAUGAUCAGAAUGUUAGUUUUCAUUAUAUGAAAAAUAUACCACAAUGGAUUGAAUAUUCACCAGGACUUUUUCGGUAUAUUCUAAAGACAGUAUGGCAAAGUUUUUUCCUCUUUUGGACCUUAAUAAAUAUCUCUAAAAUAAACCAUAUUUUUCUGCAGAAUCCACCUGCUGUACCAACUCUACCUGUUAUUUGUUUUGUUUGUUGGCUUAGAAAUUGUUGUCUUGUCAUAGAUUUUCAUAAUUAUGGUUAUACAAUAUUAGGACUUUCUGCUGGAAAAGAAAGCUUCCUAGUCAAAAUUGCAAAAUGGUGUGAGAGAUAUUUCAGCCUUAAAGCAUGCCGAAGUAUAUGUGUGACCAAAGCCAUGAAGGAAGAUUUGAUGCAAAAUUGGAAUGUGCGAGCAUCUGUUUUUUAUGACUGUGCACCUGAUAUUUUCCAUCCAAUUUCAGAAGAAGAGAAGCAUAAAUUUUUUAUGAGACUUGGUGAAGAUUAUGGGCAGUUCCGAGCUAUACCUUCUAAUUCAAAUGGUGAAGAAGCUACAAGAUUUACCAAAAAAGAGGGUGACAAAUACGAAGUGUUGAAUAAUAGACCUGCUUUAAUUGUUAGCAGCACCAGUUGGACAGAGGAUGAAGAUUUUUCAAUACUUCUAUCAGCACUGGAAGAUUAUGAAGAAGCAUCUAAGCAAAUGAAAGAUUUGCCUGACUUACUUGUUGCCAUAACUGGAAAAGGGCCUUUGAAAAGUUAUUAUGAAAGACUGAUUGAAGAUAAAGGUUUUUCUCAUGUAGAAGUUAUGACUUUGUGGCUACAAUCAGAGGACUAUCCUACAUUUUUAGCUUGUGCUGAUUUGGGUGUCAGUCUACAUAAUUCUUCAAGUGGGUUUGAUCUUCCCAUGAAAGUGGUUGAUAUGUUUGGAUGCUGUUUACCUGUAUGUGCUUUUGAAUUUCAGUGCCUUCAUGAGCUAGUCAAAGAUGGUGUAUUUGGUAAAAUAUUUUCUAACAGUCGGCAGUUGAGUCUUCAGUUUCAGAUUCUGAUCAACAAUUUAAUAAUUUGAUUCUUAAAGACUAUGCAAUUACAGCUCAACAUACACGGACGUUUUAUCAUCGGGGAGUUGAGUAUUGUGACCGGUAUUCAGAGAAGCAUUCUUCUGAGCGAUAUCAGCACAAAUGCAGCUUAUGUGGGAAAAGAUUUACUCAGAAAGGAACACUAAAUAGACACAUGGCCACUCAUAACAAUGAACGACCUUUUGCAUGUGAUCUUUGCCCUAAACGUUUCAAUUAUCGAAGUGUUCUGACAAGUCAUCGAAAGUUGCAUCUCAGGGACCCUGAUUUAUGAUUUAAUGGCUUUUGAAUGUGUUCAUACUCUGUUUCAAGUAAAAAAGAGGGAUGACAGUAUCUGUCAAAAUGAAUAAUAUUUACUAGGGCCACAUUGCACUCACAGUUUCAAGAAAAAUUAACUUAAAAAUACAACCAGCAAGGACAAUUUGUCACAUCUGGCAUCAUUUGUGUCCUGCCAGAGAAGUUCUAGAUCGACAAAUACUAUUUGCUGUAUGCAGAUUUCCAGUGAAAAGCAGUAGCAAUAACAAUUGCAGUGAUUAUCUCAUCAAGGUUCCAUACAAAGCCAGCAGAAGCAAACAUUAUUCUGUCAAAGUGUUAAUCCUCAAGCUACAGACUGUUACCAUAAUGAGAUAUCUGAAACAACUUUGUGAAGGCCAUGGCAGAUUGCAUGUAUGAGGAACAUGCAAAAACUUUUUCUGGGGGGGGGAGUUGAACUUUGGCAUUUAACUUUACACCACUUUUCUGACUUUAUUAGUGGAAUAGGGUUGUAGGUUCCAUUUCAAGUACUGUUUGACUUGAUGGGUACUAUCAGUCCUCUUAUUUUGGAAAACAAUUUGCAGACACUCUAUAUGUAUGCAUAUUAUAACCCAAGUUCCUGUUUUAAUUACUUCUCUUUCAAUGUUUUCUGUUCAUUUUAAAUGUUAAUUAUUUCGUGGUGUCUAGAAUUUUUAUGUUUUCAAUAUAUAUAUAUAUAUAUAUGUACACGAGACCUGAAGUUUUAUAAAUACAAUUGUCAGUAUGUCAUAUGAAAAUAAAACGUUUGCUUCCAUUCUUUUAAA